AUACUUACCUGGCAGGGGAGAGGCCAUGAUCAUGAAGGUAGUUUUCCCAGGGUGAGGCUCAUUCAUUGCACUCCAUAGCUGUGCUUACUCCUGUGAUUUUCCCAGAUGCAGGAAACUCGACGGCAUAAUUUGUGGUAGUGAGGAACUACAGUCAUGUUAUCCCCG
Molecule: small nuclear RNA, 165 nt
Organism: Aotus nancymaae (Ma's night monkey)
Lineage: Eukaryota; Metazoa; Chordata; Mammalia; Primates; Aotidae
Gene: U1
Rfam family: U1 spliceosomal RNA
About the family: U1 is a small nuclear RNA (snRNA) component of the spliceosome (involved in pre-mRNA splicing). Its 5' end forms complementary base pairs with the 5' splice junction, thus defining the 5' donor site of an intron.
Source: Ensembl